This 385-nucleotide ribosomal RNA is filed under the name uncultured bacterium. RNAcentral describes it as "bacterial SSU rRNA". It matches the Rfam family "Bacterial small subunit ribosomal RNA", at positions 30 to 416 of the family's 1533-position model. The record is from RNAcentral.
AUUGAACGCUGGCGGCAUGCCUUACACAUGCAAGUCGAACGGCAGCGGACCUUCGGGUGCCGGCGAGUGGCGAACGGGUGAGUAAUAUAUCGGAACGUACCUUUCAGUGGGGGAUAACGUAGCGAAAGUUACGCUAAUACCGCAUAUUCUGUGAGCAGGAAAGCAGGGGAUCGCAAGACCUUGCGCUGAUUGAGCGGCCGAUAUCAGAUUAGCUAGUUGGUGAGGUAAAGGCUCACCAAGGCGACGAUCUGUAGCGGGUCUGAGAGGAUGAUCCGCCACACUGGAACUGAGACACGGUCCAGACUCCUACGGGAGGCAGCAGUGGGGAAGUUUUGGACAAUGGGCGCAAGCCUGAUCCAGCCAUGCCGCGUGAGUGAAGAAGGCC